CACUCUCCUCCCUACAAGACCAAACUGGACGGUGCUGGAGCCCGAAGGACGUUUUGCCAGAACCGCGGAGAAAAGGGAACAGCCCUAGCUCCAGUUUGUUCCGCACAGUCAUGAAGUACAAACACCCAUUUCUUCUACCCUCCACCCCCAGCCAACACUAUGAUACAGUCUUGCAUUUAUUGUCUAUUUUGUUUCAUGGCCAUGGAAUGAUUAAUAGAUUAAUCUCUGGUCUCUGAAUGGAUAUGCAAUCGCAUCCUUUAAUGUGGCCAGGACCAACCCCUCUUCUAUCAAGGCAUUUAUGACCUCCUGAACCCAGCUGCUUGUUUACCCUCAGUUUGAUAUUAUCAGUCAAGACGGGCCUGGCUCCAUGCUUUGGGGGGCCCUGGACAAAUAAUCCAUAGUGGCCCACCGCGUCUUACCGGAUGAUAUCUGCAGUGCUGAGCGGACGUCUGGGCCUGCUCAGUAGUACCAGCCACUAUAUGUGGAGCUCAACAUGGUGCAGUUGUCACCCAGCCGUGCUGCAUUAGCCUCAGUGACAGCUCAGUCAGUCCAACAACCUUGGAGCUGCAGCAUUUGCCCCACCAUGCUGGACCUGAACCAAGAAGGACAAGAGGCAAGAAGACAUGUGGUAGGCAGCCUCCCAAAUGUGGCCCACCAGGCCUCUUUAUCAGGCCCUUGAGACUUCCACCUCCCUUCAUCCUAAACCCCACCCCUCACUGGCCCUCCUUCAUGCCUUUGUCAAGUGCUUUUGCCUCACUGGAAAGUGUCCUUGAACUGUGAUAAUGCCUCUGGCUUGCCUAAGUGGAGAACUGACUUCUGUAUGGCUGGAAUGCAGCCUGCUGUACAAAGAUCACCCAUUCAACAUUUCUAAUGGGGGCUUCAAGACAAACCUCUAGGCACCGGAAAUAUUUGGAGGGCCUCUCUAUAGAGAUGUAGUGUGAAAUGGUAUGGUUUCUGGUGGUCUCGGACAAGUUAACCAUAAAGUGCAAUUAUUUAGGGGUCAAAUUUUUAAAAAGACAAAUUUUAUACUAUUUGGUUUGACUAUUGAAUAUAUAGCAAAAUUUUAAAAUCCUGAUAGAAUACCAGCACAAUGUGUACUUACAUGGAACCGAUAAGCCAGCCACUUCUUCUCUUCAGAGUCUGGAUGCACCUGAUGGUCAUAAUUCAUCAGACAUUUCUGCAAAGCAACAAACAGAUGACAAAGAUGUUGGUUUAAUAAUUCUGUGUUUUAUUUUUUAUUUCAUUAAUACUUGUUGUUUUCAUUAAUGUAUGCAUUAUGAAAAGUGGUCCUAGAAACACGACUGCUCUUCUAAAUUCCACAAGGGGAGCUCUUCCUCUUCUUCCACUGGAGUCUCUCAGGAAUGCUUUCCUAGUAUUCUCCCUCCUACACUGUUUUGGCUGACCUUGUCCAAUCCCAUGACUUUCAAUGCCACCUAUAUGCUUACAACAGCCAGCUAGACCUCUGUAUCUCAGACCUUCCCCCCACCAUCUCUUCUCUAGCUGCCUAUGUGCUCUUUCUGCUUGGAUGUCCAAGUCUGAACUUCUCAAAUUUCCCCCUAAGCCUUCUCCUCCUUAAAUAGUCUCCGUGUCCAUUAACAGUGUCACCAUCUACCCCAGGGAUUGCCUCUGGAGAUUGUUAGGCUACAACUCCCAUCAUCCCUGACCAUUGGCCAUGCUGGUGGGGGCUGAUGGAGGGCACCAUAUUCUCUAUCUCUGAUCUGUCCUAUUGAUCAGGCAUAGAGUUUUGGCCUUAUCUUGAACCAUUCUCUCUCCUUUCCUCCCUGUGUACAGUCCAUUGCUAAGCCAUGUAACUUCUCGCUUU
Molecule: long non-coding RNA, 1822 nt
Organism: Rhineura floridana
Lineage: Eukaryota; Metazoa; Chordata; Lepidosauria; Squamata; Rhineuridae
Exons: 3
Source: RefSeq, a predicted model, not a curated record